This 92-nucleotide ribosomal RNA is filed under the name Dorea sp. AM58-8. Its description in RNAcentral is "partial 23S ribosomal RNA". It matches the Rfam family "Bacterial large subunit ribosomal RNA", at positions 2834 to 2925 of the family's 2925-position model. Lineage: Bacteria; Bacillati; Bacillota; Clostridia; Lachnospirales; Lachnospiraceae. The record is from RNAcentral.
CCCCUUGAAGACGACGAGGUAGAUAGGUCAGAGGUGGAAGUGUGGUAACACAUGUAGCUGACUGAUACUAAUCGGUCGAGGGCAUAACCAAG